Molecule: small nucleolar RNA, 132 nt
Filed under: Suricata suricatta (meerkat)
Lineage: Eukaryota; Metazoa; Chordata; Mammalia; Carnivora; Herpestidae
Source: RNAcentral
AUUGAGGUCUAUUCCAAUGGGGCUUUUUCUGUAGACCUACAUUUUUGGAAACACCUCAUAGAGUACAUGCAUGGUUUCUUUUAUUCACAUUUCCUAUGUGUUAGAUCUGUGAGAAAGAAUUACAAGACAUCU